This 756-nucleotide ribosomal RNA is filed under the name uncultured bacterium. Its description in RNAcentral is "bacterial SSU rRNA". It matches the Rfam family "Bacterial small subunit ribosomal RNA", at positions 8 to 796 of the family's 1533-position model. The record is from RNAcentral.
AGAGUUUGAUCAUGGCUCAGAAUCAACGCUGGCGGCGCGCCUAACACAUGCAAGUCGAACGAGAAAGUGGAGCAAUCCAUGAGUACAGUGGCGUACGGGUGAGUAACACGUGGGUAAUCUGCCUCUUUGUGUGGAAUAACCCUGGGAAACCGGGGCUAAUACCGCAUAAGCUCGAGAGAGGAAAGCAGCAAUGCGCUGAGAGAGGAGCCCGCGGCCGAUUAGCUAGUUGGUAGGGUAAAAGCCUACCAAGGCAAAGAUCGGUAGCCGGCCUGAGAGGGCACACGGCCACACUGGCACUGAAACACGGGCCAGACUCCUACGGGAGGCAGCAGUGGGGAAUCUUGCACAAUGGGGGAAACCCUGAUGCAGCGACGCCGCGUGAGCGAUGAAGCCCCUCGGGGUGUAAAGCUCUUUCGGCAGGGAAGAUGAUGACGGUACCUGCAGAAGCAGCUGCGGCUAACUACGUGCCAGCAGCCGCGGUAAUACGUAGGCAGCAAGCGUUGUUCGGAGUUACUGGGCGUAAAGGGUGUGUAGGCGGUUCUCUAAGUUUGGUGUGAAAUCUCCCGGCUCAACUGGGAGGGUGCGCCGAAUACUGAAGGACUCGAGUGCGGGAGAGGAGAGUGGAAUUCCUGGUGUAGCGGUGAAAUGCGUAGAUAUCAGGAGGAACACCGGUGGUGUAGACGGCUCUCUGGACCGUAACUGACGCUGAGACACGAAAGCGUGGGUAGCAAACAGGAUUAGAUACCCUAGUAGUCC